CUGCGUACCUUUUGUAUAAUGGGUCAGCGACUUAUAUUCUGUAGCAAGGUUAACCGUAUAGGGGAGCCGGAGGGAAACCGAGUCUUAAUUGGGCGUUAAGUUGCAGGGUAUAGACCCGAAACCCGGUGAUCUAGCCAUGGGCAGGUUGAAGGUUGGGUAACACUAACUGGAGGACCGAACCGACUAAUGUUGAAAAAUUAGCGGAUGACCUGUGGCUGGGGGUGAAAGGCCAAUCAAACCGGGAGAUAGCUGGUUCUCCCCGAAAGCUAUUUAGGUAGCGCCUCGUGAAUUCAUCUCCGGGGGUAGAGCACUGUUUCGGCUAGGGGGCCAUCCCGGCUUACCAACCCGAUGCAAACUGCGAAUACCGGAGAAUGUUAUCACGGGAGACACACGGCGGGUGCUAACGUCCGUCGUGAAGAGGGAAACAACCCAGACCGCCAGCUAAGGUCCCAAAGUCAUGGUUAAGUGGGAAACGAUGUGGGAAGGCCCAGACAGCCAGGAUGUUGGCUUAGAAGCAGCCAUCAUUUAAAGAAAGCGUAAUAGCUCACUGGUCGAGUCGGCCUGCGCGGAAGAUGUAACGGGGCUAAACCAUGCACCGAAGCUGCGGCAGCGACACUCAGGUGUUGUUGGGUAGGGGAGCGUUCUGUAAGCCUGUGAAGGUGGCCUGUGAGGGUUGCUGGAGGUAUCAGAAGUGCGAAUGCUGACAUAAGUAACGAUAAAGCGGGUGAAAAGCCCGCUCGCCGGAAGACCAAGGGUUCCUGUCCAACGUUAAUCGGGGCAGGGUGAGUCGACCCCUAAGGCGAGGCCGAAAGGCGUAGUCGAUGGGAAACGGGUUAAUAUUCCCGUACUUGGUGUUACUGCGAAGGGGGGACGGAGAAGGCUAUGUUGGCCGGGCGACGGUUGUCCCGGUUUAAGCGUGUAGGUGUGUGUUCCAGGUAAAUCCGGUUCACUUUAACACUGAGGCGUGACGACGAGGCACUACGGUGCUGAAGCAACAAAUGCCCUGCUUCCAGGAAAAGCCUCUAAGCAUCAGGUAACAUCAAAUCGUACCCCAAACCGACACAGGUGGUCAGGUAGAGAAUACCAAGGCGCUUGAGAGAACUCGGGUGAAGGAACUAGGCAAAAUGGUGCCGUAACUUCGGGAGAAGGCACGCUGACAC
Molecule: ribosomal RNA, 1160 nt
Filed under: Salmonella enterica subsp. enterica serovar Braenderup
Lineage: Bacteria; Pseudomonadati; Pseudomonadota; Gammaproteobacteria; Enterobacterales; Enterobacteriaceae
Description: partial 23S ribosomal RNA
Rfam family: Bacterial large subunit ribosomal RNA
Source: RNAcentral